Molecule: long non-coding RNA, 2464 nt
Organism: Halichondria panicea
Lineage: Eukaryota; Metazoa; Porifera; Demospongiae; Suberitida; Halichondriidae
Exons: 3
Source: RefSeq, a predicted model, not a curated record
UCAUUUAUAAUGAUGUCAUUGAAAAAAGAAAUCUAGUCCAAGUUGUGUAAUGGCUGCUACCUUCUCUUCUGCUCUCGCGUACGCGUUAUCCUGUGUUGGAAAAACCAGGUCUAGUCUUGAAAGACAAGCAGCUGGAGGCGAUGAAGUGUCUGUACGCUGGUGUUUAUGUGGGUACCGUACCGACCGGCUAUGGCAAGUCCCAGAGCAAGUCCAUCUGCUUUCCAGACACUCCCUUUCUUGAUUGAUGUGAAGCUUGACAGGACCAGUGCACCUCUCUCUGAAAGAAGUGUUGUGAUGGUGAUUUCUCCUCUUGUUUCUCUGAGUGAAGCCAUCUUCAAAGUGUUGGUGUGUCUGUUCGACGUUCAGUGCCAUUCUCUCUGGAAGGAAGUAUUGUUGUGACAUUUGCCGAAAAUUGGUCACAGAGUAAGUACGUGGUAUCUGAUCCGAGAACUGUGUGGCCUGAAUGGUGUUUACAAUCCGAGGGACUUGUGUGUAUCCGAUCCGAGGGACUUGUUGCUUGAGUGUGUAUCCGGACUUGUUGCUUGAGUGUGUAUUAAUGGAUAGUGCUUUCAAUGGUUUAACUAAUUUCUUAUGAGAUUAACUUGUCGCCUGAGUGUGUAUCCGAUCCGAGCCUCAAGUUAAUGAAUAAAUCUACAGAGCUGAUGUUUUACUUAGCUGUCUCUGUCUACAGUAUAUAUAGCCUCGAUUCCAGGCCGAUUAAUCGGCCUUGAAUCGAGGCUACAGUAUAUGCAGAGAGGUAGCCUCUUCUUUUUCUUUUUUCUGUUCUUUAUCACAAUAAGAUAAAAUACUGUUUUAUUGUUCAAUGAGAUAAAAUACGGUAAAUAAUAAAUUAAUUGUCCACCCACGCGCCAACAGUAAAUACCAGGCCCACUAUUCAAGGGGCUGGAGUCGAGGCUAUAAUUAUACCAACUAAAAUAAUUAGUUUUAUUGCACCUGCAUUAUAAGUAUCUGGUGUGUCUCCUUGCUCAUUAUACACGCCCUUUCUUUCUCAGUUAACCCUUUAACCGUCACGGGCCACGAUCGUGGCCCGCAAUAGUGACUUUUUUUGCGAAAUUCUAAUUCUGCGAUACUUAGGAAGUAGCUCGAACUACGCACAUCCCUGUAUAGAGGAAGAGCUGUAGAAUCACGUGCAAUUUAGUCUAGAAUUUUCCAAGCCACGUUGCUAUGUUAAAAUUUCAUUAGCAUCUUACCGCACAAAGUUUAUAGCUAUGGCUAGAUUGUUUACUUGUGCCGAUGUGCUUGAACAGCUUGAGGACAGCAAUGGCGAUGUCUCCUCUGGUGAUGACAGUGCCUAUGAAGGAGAGGGGAUAGUAGGAUACCUCCCAAAAGCUACCAGCUUUAUGCCAGACGCUGAUGAACUGUCUGGGGCUGAGGACAUGCAUGACAUGGACCUAGACGCUAGCGCUAUGGACCAGGACGGUGAAAGACCAGGAGAGGGCUCACUGUGUGACUCUGGCAAGUAGUAUAAUAUAGCUAGAAUAUCAGUAGUGUAAGUAUAGUAUAGCUAAAAUAGUAAUGAACAGUCUUUAUGUGAGCUUGUAAAUUUCAUAGAUCGUUCACCGAUAUAGUAAUACAUGUACGUAUUGUCUUCAAAUUGAUAUAUCUUAGCACUGUUACAUUCAUAUGAUGUGAAAAUCAAGCUUAGUCAAGCCUUUAUACCAUAUGAUUGGCUGAUCCAUAAAAAAAAUUUUUGGAUUUUAUCUCACCGCUGGCCGAGCAUUUAAAAUGAUAAAAACGGGUGAGCGUAAUAACCGUGGUUGUUAUGGCAACACAUGUUGCACCAUUUUAUUCCUUGUUGUAUGGGCAUUCUAUUGGUAUAUGGUUGCUAGGCAUUUUAUUGCUCUGGAAACCCGAUAGAGAAUUUACAGACAUUUCACUUCACUGUUAAUUAAGAAUCCGACGGUUAAAGGGUUAAAACACAAUAAUUAUACCAACUAAGAUAAUUAGUUUUAUUGCACCUGCGUUAUUGUACAACCUCCCGCUAGUCGAGUCACACUCCAAGAUCUAGUGAGCAGAUACAGUCUGACUGACGAGCAGCUCAAUAGUGAAAUAGGGGACUCCGAUAUUCCCUACCUGGCCAAAUAUUUUGAUGGUGUAAAGAUCUAUUCGAGUGCAAUAGGACUGACUCCUGCACAACAGGCCGAUGUGAAUAGGUUGUACUGUUAUGAAGGAACUCAAGUAGCCAUGACUGAAUGCUUGAUUCUCUGGAAAAGACACGAUCCUUUCGCAGCAACUCACAAAGCUCUACUGGAGUUGUUACUGGGAUUGAGAAAAGACAAGAUAGCUGAUGAUAUCUGUCAGCACUUGACUCAAUGAGGUAUCACUGUCUGAUGACAUUGUCACGUGUGGAGAGGUGUACAGGAACACUUGCUCAAGUAACUCUCUGUAGAAUGUUUGAUACUCACAAUUCAUUUAGUUUGCAAAUAGCUUCAUAAAAAUAUUA